RNAcentral lists this microRNA precursor (194 nucleotides) under Oryza brachyantha (malo sina). RNAcentral's name for it is "MIR812 microRNA precursor family". It matches the Rfam family "MIR812 microRNA precursor family". Lineage: Eukaryota; Viridiplantae; Streptophyta; Magnoliopsida; Poales; Poaceae. The record is from Rfam by way of RNAcentral.
GAUAAGUUCAGUUUUCAGUUUCUACAUAAAAUGUUUGAUUUUUUGUCUUAUUUGAAUUUUUUAAUCAAUAUUUUUAUUGUUAUUUGACGAUAAAACAUGAAUAUUAAGUUACGCCUGACUAAUUUUUUUAUGUUUUUCUAUAAAUAAGAUGGAUGAUCAAACGUUGGACAUAGAAAUCGAGAAAUGAAGUUUUU